This 505-nucleotide ribosomal RNA is filed under the name uncultured bacterium. Its description in RNAcentral is "bacterial SSU rRNA". It matches the Rfam family "Bacterial small subunit ribosomal RNA", at positions 28 to 526 of the family's 1533-position model. The record is from RNAcentral.
GACGAACGCUGGCGGCGUGGAUUAGGCAUGCAAGUCGAACGGUAUCAUCCUUUCGGGGGUGAGAGAGUGGCGAACUGGUGAGUAACACGUAGGUUAUCUACCCUCAAGACGGGGACAACCCAGGGAAACUUGGGCUAAUACCGGAUGUGAGCAACUUUUAGUUGUUUGAAAGGUGGCGUAAGCUGUCGCUUGGGGAUGAGCCUGCGUCCUAUUAGUUAGUUGGUGAGGUAACGGCUCACCUAGGCAAUGAUAGGUAGGCGGCCUUAACGGGUGGUCGCCCACACUGGGAUUGAGAUACGGCCCAGACUCCUACGGGAGGCAGCAGUCGAGAAUAGUCUACAAUGGUCGGAAGACUGAUAGUGCGACGCCGCGUGAACGAUGAAUCCCUUCGGGUGUAAAGUUCUUUUAUAUGUGAGCAGUGCUUCUUAUAUUAACAGUAUGGGGAGAGAGAUAUUAGCAUAUGAAUAAGCAACGGCUAACUCCGUGCCAGCAGCCGCGGUAAACU